This is an RNA transcript of Aethalodelphis obliquidens (Pacific white-sided dolphin), 383 nucleotides long. It is a transcript of the gene named cytochrome c oxidase subunit NDUFA4 pseudogene, with no coding region annotated. The record is from RefSeq and is a predicted model, not a curated record. NCBI's taxonomy places the organism in Eukaryota, Metazoa, Chordata, Mammalia, Artiodactyla, Delphinidae. The transcript has a single exon.
CUCCGUCUGGACUCGAGGCUUCUGUCACAACCAUGCUCCGCCUAAUCAUCGGUCAGGCCAAGAAGCAUCUUAGCUUGAUCCCCCUCUUCAUAUUUAUUGAAGCGGGAGGUACUGGAGCAACACUGUAUGUCUUGCGCCAGGCAUUGUUCAAUCCAGAUGUCAGUUGGGACAGAAAGAGUAACCCAGAACCCUGGAAAAAACUGGGUCCCAAUGAUCAGUACAAGUUCUACUCAGUGAAUGUAGAUUACAGCAAAUUGAAGAAAGAAGGUCCAGACUUCUAAAUGAAAUGUUUCAUUAUAAAGCUGCUUAGAAUGAAGGUCUUCCAGAAGCCAUCUGCACAAUUUUCCACUUAACCAGGAAACAUUUCCCCUCUAAAUGCACGA